RNAcentral lists this ribosomal RNA (253 nucleotides) under uncultured bacterium. RNAcentral's name for it is "partial 16S ribosomal RNA". It matches the Rfam family "Bacterial small subunit ribosomal RNA", at positions 524 to 776 of the family's 1533-position model. The record is from RNAcentral.
UACGUAGGGGGCAAGCGUUGUCCGGAUUUAUUGGGCGUAAAGAGCGUGUAGGCGGUUUGGUAGGUCCGCUGUGAAAACUCGAGGCUUAACCUCGAGACGUCGGUGGAAACUGCUUGGCUAGAGCCCGGAAGAGGAGAGUGGAAUUCCUGGUGUAGCGGUGAAAUGCGCAGAUAUCAGGAAGAACACCCGUGGCUAAGGCGGCUCUCUAGUACGGUACUGACGCUGAGACGCGAAAGCGUGGGGAGCGAACAGG